AUUGAACGCUGGCGGCAUGCUUUACACAUGCAAGUCGAACGGUAACAGGCCGCAAGGUGCUGACGAGUGGCGAACGGGUGAGUAAUGCAUCGGAACGUGCCCAGUCGUGGGGGAUAACUACUCGAAAAAGUAGCUAAUACCGCAUACGAUCUAUGGAUGAAAGCGGGGGACCGUAAGGCCUCGCGCGAUUGGAGCGGCCGAUGUCAGAUUAGGUAGUUGGUGGGGUAAAGGCUCACCAAGCCAACGAUCUGUAGCUGGUCUGAGAGGACGACCAGCCACACUGGGACUGAGACACGGCCCAGACUCCUACGGGAGGCAGCAGUGGGGAAUUUUGGACAAAGGGCGCAAGCCUGAUCCAGCAAUGCCGCGUGCAGGAAGAAGGCCUUCGGGUUGUAAACUGCUUUUGUACGGAACGAAACGGCUCUGGUUAAUACCCGGGGCUAAUGACGGUACCGUAAGAAUAAGCACCGGCUAACUACGUG
Molecule: ribosomal RNA, 482 nt
Filed under: uncultured bacterium
Lineage: Bacteria
Description: partial 16S ribosomal RNA
Rfam family: Bacterial small subunit ribosomal RNA
Source: RNAcentral